GCCCACCAGGCUCCUCUGGCUAUGGGAUUCUCCAGGCAAGAAUGCUGGAGUGGGAUCUUCCUGACCCAGGGGCUGAACCCACAUCUCCUUCGUCUCCUGCACUGCAGGCAGUCUUGACUCACUGAAUGACUCAGAAACCUGGCCCCAAAGAGGUUUCGGUCUGAUGUGCUUGUCUAUGGAGUGAUAAUCUGAUUUCAUCAGUGGGUUGAUGCUUUGUCAACAGAGGAAUGUCGGGAGGAUCUAUUACAGAAUGGACAGCCAAGAUGAGAAGCUUGGACUCUUUGGGGAAAAAGAGCUGGAAGCAAGGAUGUUACUUGACGCUGGGUUGGGCCUGGAAGCUCCCAGCUGGGAGGUAGAAAGUCCUUGGAAGGCAGUGCCCAACAGGUGGGUCCUAGAUGCGAGCUCUUGACCUCUGGUUUCCAACCUCAGCCAA
RNAcentral lists this long non-coding RNA (433 nucleotides) under Bos indicus x Bos taurus (hybrid cattle). RNAcentral describes it as "lncRNA (ENSBIXG00000027701.1)". Lineage: Eukaryota; Metazoa; Chordata; Mammalia; Artiodactyla; Bovidae. The record is from RNAcentral.